Molecule: RNA transcript, 2639 nt
Organism: Malania oleifera
Lineage: Eukaryota; Viridiplantae; Streptophyta; Magnoliopsida; Santalales; Ximeniaceae
Gene name: protein WHAT'S THIS FACTOR 9, mitochondrial
Exons: 4
Source: RefSeq, a predicted model, not a curated record
AGAAGUCGGGUCAAACUCACGAUGGAUUUUGGGGAUAUUUGCUUAGAGCGCGCAAAACCCCACCAAAACCCUCUGCUUUCCGCAUCAUCGAGUUACUCCCUAGUUCACAUUGCCCAUAGUUGUCAAACGCAGAAGUGGAGGCAACACCUCCAAAGUCCGAGCAAAUCCUUCAUGCAGUUCAUCCUGCGAUCAAUCUUCAGCCCUGGCCGGGAACCGAAGCACCAGCACCAAACCCGCCGUGCCUUCGUUGACGCUACCAUCAAAUGGGUCCGAGACCGCGGCCUCGACCAUGCCGUCGAGAAGGAGAAGAACCUCAGGCCCGUCAUCAACCUUAAGAAUCUCAUCAAAUCAGAGCCGUCCAAAUCCCUUCCCUUCUCUAUCAUUGCCGAUAAGAAGGACUAUUUGGGAAUCCCGAUCCGGGUUGUUGAUUUUGUCCGAAGGUACCGCUCUGUUUUUGAAGAAUUUCUCCCUGGCGGCAUCGGCGUUCACCCCCGUAUUCGGCUAACCCCACAAGUUCUUGAGCUUGAUUCCGAAGAACAAUUGAUUUACCAAAGUGAAACUUAUCAACAACAAGCCGCAGAUCGGCUUUUGAAGCUAUUGAUGAUGUGUCGAAUCAAUAAGGUACCGUUAAAUAUUGUUGACCUGUUCAAAUGGGACCUUGGUCUUCCCCAUGAUUAUGUACAAAGCCUAGUGCCGCAAUUUCCAGACUAUUUUCAAGUAAAAAGAUCGAAGGAUUCAUCAUCCGGGUGUGGUAUUGAUGUCUUAGAAUUGGUUUGUUGGAGUAGUGAACUUGCGGUUACAGUUAUGGAGAAGAAGGCAAUGAAUGGAAAGUUGGAUUACGAGAAGGGAAUGCCCAUUGCAUUCCCUGUGCAGUAUUCAAGAGGUUUUGAAAUGGAUAAGAAGGUGAAGAAGUGGGUGGAUGAGUGGCAGAAAUUGCCUUACAUUUCUCCUUAUGAAAAUGCCCUACAUCUUCCGCCCAAGAGUGAUGAAUCAGAUAAGUGGGCGGUGGCCAUAUUGCACGAGCUUCUUCAUAUUCUUAUUCCAAAGAAGACGGAUAAGGAGAAUAUAUUAUGCCUUGGAGAGUAUAUGGGACUGCGGUCGAGGUUUAAAAGGGCCUUGCUUCACCAUCCCGGCAUAUUUUAUCUCUCAAGUAAAAACAGGACUCAUACUGUGAUUUUGAGGGAGGCUUACAAGAGGGAUUUGUUGAUUGAGAAGCAUCCAAUGAUGAUUAUGAGGUAUCGUUAUGUGCAUCUUAUGAAUACAGCGAAGGAUGAGCAUAAAGGUACCACUGUGCCAAGUUGUACAACUCAACAACAACAAACUGCUAAUGGUUCUGAGGAAGGAAAGGGAGAAGAGGUGGACUAUGGAAGUGAAGAAGAAUGGGAUGGUGCCUUGAAUGGGUUGUCCAGUUCUGAAGAGGAGGAUGCCUGUGAUGAUAUUGAUGAUGAGGAUGACGAUGGCUAUGAGGGGAAGGAUGAAGAUGAGAGUAAGAGAGGUCGUCAUAGGAAUGUUGUAAUCAAUAGAGGAAGAACAAGGAAGAGAAAUUUGAAGGCAGAAGGGCCUUUGGGACAUCAUGGACAAGAAAGGUCACAGGGAAAAUACCACAGAAAGACCAAGGACAAAGCGCCAUCCAAUGCUUCAAGAAGAAUAGAAUUGUGUGACUCACAUAAUUCCAGCAAGAGAUUGCCCAAGAGAUCAGAUUUUUCCCAGAAGCAGAGGGUGUUCGUUGCUAGAUAGGAUGAUUUGCUCUGUAAAAUGUUCUCUUCCUUUCUGAUACAACAUGGGGGUUAGUGCUACACUGCCACUAGUGCGAAAACCAAUCCUUACUGUUCACUGAUGGUAUUGGGGUUAAUGGAGGGUGUUUUAUGAUAACUGCUUUUAUGUUGAUAAUUGUGGCUGCCCAAACCUCCUGAAAACAUGAAAUUAAGUUGCCUUUGGGUUUUCUUACUGAGAAUGUGCUGGUCUCCUCCAUGGAAAAGCAAUGCGUUUGUGGCUAAGAAUUUGAAAUGAUUUGCUAUAUUUAUCUCUUCUUCAAAAUCUGAAGAGACAAGCUAAUGGUUCCUGUGGACCUGUGGUCUACUCCUCAAGUCUCAGGUGGCAUGUAAGAAGCAGUUUUAAAUUAAUCAAUUUCAUUGCAGUGCAAAGUGUGGAGUUGUUGUAUUGUGCUGUAGAGCAGUUGCUGUUUCUUGUAGGAGGGGGACCUGAAUGCUAGUUUCUUAAUGCUUACCAGAAGGUUCAACAUCUUGACCAGAAUUCAAGUGGAGGGAGAGACUCUAGUUGAUGAAGGGGAUGUCAAAAAGGGCAUUUGCAAUUUUUACAAGAACCUCUAUACUGAGCGAUAGACAUGGCGACCAACUGUUGAUGGCAUUAUUUUCAGAAACCUGUGCCUUUCCGUAGCAGCUCAAAGGGCCCUUUGAGGAAGAGGAAAUUGUUCAAGCUCUCAAGGGAUGCAAUGGGGAUAAAGCUCCAGGCCCUGAUGGCUCCACUUUGGCUUCUUUUCGAAGAAAUUGGUGUCUUCUCAAACAGGAUAUAAUCUGUGUUUUUGAAGAUUUUCACUGAACAGGUAAAUUCGUACUAGUAUCAACUAAACCUUUUCUCAUUGAUUCCCAAGAAAAUGGGGUCGAAGAAUUCCGACAAUU